GGCUGUGUGUCGGGCGUCGUGCGUUCAGAGUGUUUCAUCUUCGUAGAAGGGUUGGUGAGCUUUCGGCCUUUUUCUACCACCUGCAGUGACUACAGAGCCUGAGAGCUCAGUUUGCCUGAAAACUUGGGUGGAGCUUCCCCGCGAACACCCUGCCUCUCCCGUCCUGUAAAUCAAUAUUACCUUUCCACCCUCUCCUGGCCUUUCCCCCUCGCCGCUGUGUCUGACUUUCUAUUUCUUCUGGGGUCAGUUUUCAACGUUUGGAAGUCUCACAUUUUUAAAUGCGCUGCCAAGGACCUGCUCGUCUAUUUGUCACUCAUUUUAUUUAUAUCUGUAGUUAGAUCUAUUUCUGCCCUUGAUGUGGAGUUUUUAAAAAUAAUUACAUGCAUAUUUGGGGUGGGGGGCAGGCCUCGGGUAUAGAGAAGCUCCUGGGCCUGGGAUCAAACCUGUGCCACAGCAAGGAACCAAGCCACACAGCAGUGACCACGCCAGACCCCAGGCUGUGGCGCCACCAGGAGCUCUGAUGUUGCGGGGUUUUGUUUCUCUUAAUCUAACUUGCCAACAGCUCGGCUGUUUUACUGGUUUUUUCAAAGAAGCAACUUUUAUCUCUUCUUUGGGUCGGGUCUAUUCAGCUCAGCUUUCAUCUCUAUGAACACUGUCUUUUGCUGUCAUUUUUCCGGUGUCUUCCGGUGAGGAAGUGGUGUGUUUACGUUUGGGCUCUUUCAAUAGCAAAACAUUCGGUGUUACUGGAUUUUCCCUGAUUGGGGUUUGAUGUCUGCCUCACGGUUUUGGACAUGAAUCUUUUCCUUUGUUACCAGUUUUCUAGGGGUUUCGGUUUUUAUUCUUCUGUCACUCAGAGGCCAUUUAGACCAACAAUUAAGCACCUGUGCUUCCCCUUGGCGCUGUGUCUCGUCUCACCGGAGAGAGAGACGGCCGGCUCUAGGGCGUCAUGGUCUUUCCCAAAGCUUUUGGCUGGAUCUUGUCUUACGUCCCUGGUUUGCCAGUUGUUGUCUGGUGGCGGUUGGCUUUCUCGCUUUGGUUUUGGCUAUUUGUUUACAGGGAAAUUGGACACGUUGGUUGCACAGUUGACAGGGAAGAAUGGACGCUUGAGAUUUUCCAAGGACGUUUUGCAGCUGAACAGUAAAACGGAUGGUAUCAUCCGUGUGGGCCAAGCAGCAGGGGCUGGCACCGAGGACAGAGAGGUGGGCCGGGCAGGGCAGAGUCCAGAGGUCCAGCCGCCACCAGCCAGGACCAGACCCCGCGCUCCUGUCUACAGGGAGGGGCUUCGGCGUCUUCUAUCUGAGCACUUCCCAGAGCUGCCUCUGUCCCGUGGCCGAGGGCUCCCGAGCCAGGGCCAGGCGGCCUGCCCUGGGAGCCCAGGGGAUGCUGGCCAGCGGAUGAACAAAUCCAUCCGCUGUCACCAGAGGAUGAAACGGCUCGGGCUGAGGAUUUAAACUCCAAGAGCACGAAAGAUGGGCCGGGCACGUGGUCGGCUCUGCUCGGCACCACAGGCAGGGCAUUUGACCUUCCCUCUGGCUGCGAGCCGAUGCCUGAGGCUCUCCCGUCCUCUAAAGACCCCCACUUCCAGCCGCCCCCAUGGGGUGGGGCCCUCACACCUCUCAUCCCACCCGCUCUUGGCCCUGCAGGAGCCCUCUGAGAUCACACCCCUCCUACGCCAAGGAAGCCAGGCUGGGGCUGGCCCAAGGGCACACACCGAGCCCAGGGUGGAGCCUCAGGGGCCAGGGCAGCUGCACCUCACGCAGAGCCUGGGCUUGUGACACCUGCAUGGCCAGCCCCCGCCUCGCACAGCAUCGGGGCUCAGAACCCGGGCAGGCAGCUCAGAAAGGAGAACCACCCAGUGGGGCCAAGGGGGAAGGUCACGAAGGGUGCCUGUUCCACGGUCACGGUUAAUGAGAACUCCGUAAAAGCCGAGUCAUCACAAGAGAAGCAUAAAGCUUCCACGAGUGGUUCGGGGCCUCUUUUUUUUUUUGUCUUUUUGUCAUUUCUUGGGCUACUCCCGCGGCAUAUGGAGGUUCCCAGGCUAGGGGUCGAAUCGGAGCUGUAGCCGCUGGCCUACGUCACAGCCACAGCCAGAUCUGAGCCGUAUCUGCGACCUACACCACAGCUCACGGCAACGCCGGAUCCUUAAUCCACUGAGCAAGGCCAGGGGUCGAACCCGCCACCUCAUGGCUCCCAGUCGGAUUCGUUAACCACUGCACCACGACGGGAACGCCCGGGGCCUCUUUAAAAGACCAUGAAAUAUCUAAGCCAUAUUUGGCGGAAACCGCUGCUUUUCUACUGGGAAGUGUCUACAAACAGAAAGUUGGAAUUUCUGAAAUUGAGGAAGAAACCUCACAAUUUCAGGUACAAGCAUCGCCCUCCUUUCUUUCCUUUUUGAAACGACUAAAGCGUCAGCCCCAAAGAAGUCAAAACACGCUCGGAGUCCCCCACCGUCCUGCCUCACCCAGCAGGGGACAGAGGAUGCCUGGUGGCUCCCCUCCUCCUGCCGAUGGACGUGAAGGGCCCCUUGGACACAGGGCUCCCGGGACAGGGCUGCUCCGUCCUUGCGAACGACGCGUGCUUGCUGGCUGUAAACGGGGGGACGGGGACCCUGUAACUUGAGGGCUGGGAGGGCUCAUCGGGGGGCCCCAUGGCUUCAGACUUUCCUUCUCUGGCUCUGUGCCCAGUCUCCUGCUUCCUAAACGAGCACCCUCUGGCCCCCACACCUCCACACCCCAGUCCCCUCUCAGCAGGCCUGGGGUCUCCCCUCCCCCAGCCAGGUUUCUGGAAGGGCUGCCCCUCCCCCCUUUCCCCAGACCUUCAGCACCUCCCCUCCCCCACAAACACACACACACAGAGGUCACCAGCAGCUCUGGUCCCGUCCAAGGGUCCUUCUCAAGUCUAUACCCACCUGGCCUCCGAGAGUCCCGCACAGGGGACCGACCUCUGCCUCCCCCCGGCCCUCUGGUCCCUCCCUGGGCUGUGUCUCCAGCUCUCCUCUCUGCUCCAGCGUCCUCUUGGCCCCUCUCUCGGCCUCCUCCCCUCGCUAGAGAAACCACCCCUCCCCUGGCCUCCAGGGCCUGGGCCUCCAGAGCCACUUGUCCUGCAACACUGUCCCCAAACCCAGUGACCCCGGGAGGCUCAUCCACUGCUCCUGCACCUGCCUUCCCACCUCGGGGUAUAGGUCCUGGACACCCGGCGACUCAAGCCUGGACAUCCUCGUGUCACCAUCUGCUCCGAGUCACCCUCGGGCCACCUCUAAGUUCCACGUCUUGGCGCCUCGAGCCUCAGCACCACGGGCUCCGUGCAGACCGCCCCUCGUGGCCCCUUGCCGCUGCCCUCCCACUCUGCUGCUGCAGUAGGGCAGACGCGGCCCUGGGUUUUCCAAGUCCCCACGCCGGAAGGCGCCAGCCAGCUCUCCCCUGGGACCUCGGGAAGAUUUGAAGGCUGGAGGCUCACCGGGCCUUUCAAAGCCGUGUCGCAUCAAAGGCAGGAUGUCUUCCUGCGUCCAGAGCCUUCCCCAUGUCCUGCCGUGUGCGGCUGCAGCCUGGGGGUGUAACAGGCGCCAUCUGCUCUCGCAAGAAGGCUCGGCUGAGGGGUGACAGGAGACGGGGCUGUGUGCAGCAGUCGGGGGAGCAGUGCUUGGCCCCGAGUCAGGGGAGCACAGGGCGGGCAGCAGGGAAGGAGGCUGUGGGUGGAGGGCUCUCCCGGGAACCUGGGAGGACUGUCGAGGUCCUUAUUCCAAGGCUGGAAGCAGGGGAGGGAGGGUGGGCGUGUCUUCCGAGGCAGAGAGCCUGCCGGACAGAGGCUUCGUCCAGCCUGGGACCCUUCCUGGACCUGCCUUUGCUUCUUCACGACCUGGCCGUGCAUGAGGUCGGGGCAGAUGCCUGGUGUCACGGCUGCCCCUGGAGGCCACCCCGGCUGCACUUCCAAGAGGCCUGUGUCUCUCUACCCAGGAGCACGUGGACACACUGCGCCAGGCCCUGGACGAGAGCAAGAGGCAUGGCCAGGGCCUGGCCCAGCAGGGGCAGCUGCUGGAGGAGCAGGUCGCAGGCCUGCAGCGCAGGUGUCUGGAGGCGGAAGGCGUGCGGGAGCCCCUGAGGCAGGGAGCACCCCUACGGCAGAGGGUGGACACACUGAGAGAGAGAACCAGCCCAGCUCAGGAUGCAGCCUCGGGCCGCAGCGCAGGGAGCAGGCGGCGGGGGCAGCGCCGAGAGACACGUCCUGCCUGCAGGGGGCGCUCACAGGGCACCGGGCGCUGGUUCGCCGCUCAGGUGGCCAGCCCAAAGGAGCAGCUGGACCAGGAAGGGCGGCAGCGGCGACACGACCACCUCGGCCAGACCCUUCCAACCAAGAAGUGAGCCCUGCUACCAACACUCAGGCAGUCUGGCCGCCACAGCCCUGACCAGCGGGCAGCAGAGCCACUGCUGAGAAAGCCGACGCCCUGUGCUGCUCGGCGGCCAGCCUCGAGGGGCACCGGGCUGACGCAGCCACGGCCCAGAGCCCACCCCUCACCCUGCAUGAUCCCCUGCAAGCAGUGUCCCCCCCGACCCGGCCCCCGGGACUCGGCCUCUGGCUGGCCUGGACUGCGCUUCGGGACACUGCUCUGGGACACGCCCUCCACAGCUGCACUGAGGCCCCUCGCAGCCCGCAACGGGCCUGGCACGGCUUCGGACCCUGGUGGCCAGGCCCCGUCAGGCCGGCUUCCGCUGCCUCCAGCUGUAUUCCGUGCCCUUAGCUCUGUAAACACGGGAAAACACGUGGAAACCAUUUCCACCACUGGAGCCAAAAACAUAAUGUCCUGCAAGGCCCAGCCACCACACCCCCACGCCCAGAGGCUGCAGGACCUUCUGUAUCCAGGAAGUGCAGGUCCGUCUCGGUGGCAGGUGGCUGGAAGUGACUCUGAAUCAAGCCCCUGUGGCUCGCGGGCCGUGAGAGGCCCUGGGGGUGAAGUCAAGGUUGGCGGAGGAGCACCCGCCUUCCCAGCCCCUAAACGCUGGGAAGGUUCCUUGGGAAUCCAGCCCCGGUCGCCGUGGAGACCACGGCAGCCAGGUUAGGCCUGCUGCCAGGCUCACCUGUUAGGCUUUCGCUCUUUUCCCCAAAAUACCACCGGGCGGAGCCAUGGGGCUCCUCUCCAACGGCCGUCCACGGGGCAGCGGUCACGGGGCACCCUGGGAGGGUGUUCACACUUCCACAGGGCAGCAGCCACGGGGCACCCUGGGAGGGUGUUAACACUUCCACGGGGCAGCCGUCCACGGGGCACCCUGGGAGGGUGUUCACACUUCCACGGGGCAGCGGCCACGGGGCACCCUGGGAGGGUGUUCACACUUCCAAGGGGCAGUGGCCAGCCCAGGAAACCCCUGCAUGCGUGGGUGCAGGUGCCCCCACGCUCUUCCUACUCCAGGAACCCGUCACACCCUGGAGCGCCCACAACAGUCACGGUAAGCGGGGGCCCCAGUGCGUGAAGAUCCAUCCAGCACUUGGGGUUGAACCUGGUGACGGAGCUUCCAUUUGCUGUCAACUGUACAAAAGCGGAGGAGAAAGAGGCAGCCAGGCAGGCUGCAUUCUGCCUGUCGACCCUGCCCCAUCCCUGGUGGCCGUGUUGAAGAGAUUCUGAAGUUCAGUCCGGCCCAGAGGGAGGAGCCUGGUGGCCUAGCAGCGGCUGCUCCGGGCAAGGAGGCCUUGACGGUGGUGUGCGAAGCCUGGUGUUGGCCGUGGCCGUGGCCAGUCAGAGUGGGUAGCAAUCCAGCGGAGGACGGCAGGCCGGCCCUGGCUGGAGAGCACCGCACAGACGGGCAGGAAGGGCCCCGAUGUAACAGACGCCACCCGGGGCCUGGCAACGCUGACCGGUCCCAUCCCCUCCUCCCCCACCCCGCGGAGGAGGGACCUGGGGGGCAGGGGGUGGGGGGUGACGGGUGGGAGAGGAACCGGAAGCUGGAGACUGGAGUCUGGGGAGCGGGUUUCCGUCCUGGCACCUCAGUUGUCACACCUCUGGGACUGACGCUCCCGGCAGAGGCGGGGCGGGGGAAGAGCACGCGGAUGAGAGAGACACAGCGCUGAUGAGAAAGGGGGGUCGGAGUGGUUUCUGGACAUUGAAAUCAGAGCCCCCCACCCCAGUCUGGCGCGAUCCGGCCCCUCCUCACCCAGGCGGCCCCCAGGACACGUUCCAUGCCUGUGAAGCCUCUACGAUUUUUCUGUUUCAACCAAAGUUCAAUCAAUGUAGGCGGUACUAUUUUUACUCCUUCAACAUAAGGUUGAAUACUUAGAAAAAAGGACUUUUUUAA
RNAcentral lists this long non-coding RNA (6281 nucleotides) under Sus scrofa (pig). RNAcentral describes it as "lncRNA (ENSSSCG00055016346.1)". Lineage: Eukaryota; Metazoa; Chordata; Mammalia; Artiodactyla; Suidae. The record is from RNAcentral.